GGAGGUUCAUAGCAUAAAGAUAUCGAAUCGUGUCAGGUCUGGAAGGAAGCAGCACUAAGGUAUUUUUGUGGGUGUGGAUUCAAAGUU
RNAcentral lists this signal recognition particle RNA (87 nucleotides) under Fusobacterium perfoetens. Its description in RNAcentral is "signal recognition particle sRNA small type". It matches the Rfam family "Bacterial small signal recognition particle RNA". Rfam says of the family: The signal recognition particle (SRP) is a universally conserved ribonucleoprotein involved in the co-translational targeting of proteins to membranes. RNAcentral also lists the same sequence under 1 other name. The record is from RNAcentral. Lineage: Bacteria; Fusobacteriati; Fusobacteriota; Fusobacteriia; Fusobacteriales; Fusobacteriaceae.